AUUGAACGCUGGCGGCAGGCCUAACACAUGCAAGUCGAACGGUAACAGGAAACAGCUUGCUGUUUCGCUGACGAGUGGCGGACGGGUGAGUAAUGUCUGGGAAACUGCCUGAUGGAGGGGGAUAACUACUGGAAACGGUAGCUAAUACCGCAUAACGUCGCAAGACCAAAGAGGGGGACCCUCGGGCCUCUUGCCAUCGGAUGUGCCCAGAUGGGAUUAGCUUGUUGGUGGGGUAACGGAUCACCAAGGCGACGAUCCCUAGCUGGUCUGAGAGGAUGACCAGCCACACUGGAACUGAGACACGGUCCAGACUCCUACGGGAGGCAGCAGUGGGGAAUAUUGCACAAUGGGCGCAAGCCUGAUGCAGCCAUGCCGCGUGUAUGAAGAAGGCCUUCGGGUUGUAAAGUACUUUCAGCGGGGAGGAAGGGAGUAAAGUUAAUACCUUUGCUCAUUGACGUUACCCGCAGAAGAAGCACCGGAUAACUCCGUG
This 490-nucleotide ribosomal RNA is filed under the name uncultured bacterium. Its description in RNAcentral is "partial 16S ribosomal RNA". It matches the Rfam family "Bacterial small subunit ribosomal RNA", at positions 30 to 507 of the family's 1533-position model. The record is from RNAcentral.